RNAcentral lists this ribosomal RNA (848 nucleotides) under Volvopluteus sp. JPL-2019. Its description in RNAcentral is "partial large subunit ribosomal RNA". It matches the Rfam family "Eukaryotic large subunit ribosomal RNA", at positions 73 to 907 of the family's 3401-position model. Lineage: Eukaryota; Fungi; Basidiomycota; Agaricomycetes; Agaricales; Pluteaceae. The record is from RNAcentral.
GAUUCCCCUAGUAACUGCGAGUGAAGCGGGAAAAGCUCAAAUUUAAAAUCUGGCAGUCUCUGGCUGUCCGAGUUGUAAACUAGAGAAGUGCUAUCCGUGCUGGACCAUGUACAAGUCUCCUGGAACGGAGCGUCACAGAGGGUGAGAAUCCCGUCUUUGACAUGGACUACCAGUGCAUUGUGAUGCGCUCUCAAAGAGUCGAGUUGUUUGGGAAUGCAGCUCAAAAUGGGUGGUAAACUCCAUCUAAAGCUAAAUAUUGGCGAGAGACCGAUAGCGAACAAGUACCGUGAGGGAAAGAUGAAAAGAACUUUGGAAAGAGAGUUAAACAGUACGUGAAAUUGUUGAAAGGGAAACGCUUGAAGUCAGUCGCAUUGGCCGGAGAUCAAUCUUGCUCUCGCGAGGUGUACUCUCUGGUCAAUGGGUCAGCAUCAAUUUUGACCGAUGGAAAAAGGUCAGGGGAAUGUGGCAUCUUCGGAUGUGUUAUAGCCUCUGGUCGUAUACACCGGUUGGGAUUGAGGAACUCAGCACGCCGCAAGGCCGGGUCUCUGACCACGUUCGUGCUUAGGAUGCUGGCAUAAUGGCUUUAAUCGACCCGUCUUGAAACACGGACCAAGGAGUCUAACAUGCCUGCGAGUGUUUGGGUGGAAAACCCAUGCGCGUAAUGAAAGUGAAAGUUGAGAUCUCUGUCGUGGAGAGCAUCGACGCCCGGACCAGACCUUUUGUGACGGAUCCGCGGUAGAGCAUGUAUGUUGGGACCCGAAAGAUGGUGAACUAUGCCUGAAUAGGGCGAAGCCAGAGGAAACUCUGGUGGAGGCUCGUAGCGAUUCUGACGUGCAAAUCGAUCGUCG